This 776-nucleotide long non-coding RNA is filed under the name Androctonus crassicauda. Lineage: Eukaryota; Metazoa; Arthropoda; Arachnida; Scorpiones; Buthidae. The record is from RNAcentral.
GUUAUAUAGAAACCGCGUUGUAUAAGUACACGUUAUAUGAGGGUUUGCUAUAUUUUGGAAAGUGUUGAUGAAUCAGAAUUGCUUUCUACGUGAUUUUUUUUUAAAUUUAAAUGUUGUGCUUAAAACUAUACAAAUUUUCUUAUUGAAUUAUAAAUGCGAUGAAAAUCGAUUACGUGAUCUUUUUACAUUAUUCGAUUUUGCAACUUUUUAUCGAUUAAAAUCGGAUAAUUGUUACGUCGUUAAUCGUGAAACCGAUUUCGAUCUCGAUAAUAUAUAACAACAGUUUACAAUCGUGCAUAAAACUCGUGUACAAUAAUCUAUAAUUCGACUGGACACACAAUAUUCUGGAUAACAAAACAUCGAAGAAAGAUAAACAGCUUUAGGACGUCUAUCGAAUGCUAUUUUAUCCAUUAACGGAGUUUAAGACAAAACCAGAUUUAGCAGUAUAGACUGACUGAUAACAUAUAAUGUAGCAGCAAUACUCGGUAAACAUACGCGGCUUAUGUUUUAUUUAUUUAAAAAAAUUGUUAUUCGUUUUUUUUUUACAUUUUUUAUUAAUGCUGUUUACCAAUAAGCAACGGUUGGCAUGCCAGUUAACGUGAUACACGUGUACCAAAGUUUGAGAAACUUUGGAUUAGAAUUUCGUAGUCUCAUAAUUAGUUUAGCCAAAUAGUUAUUGUUAUUAAAACAAUGAUAGUUAUAAACUUAUCUUACGUCAGUUUUAAAACGUUAUUAUUUGACGAAACAAUAAUAAUUAUUGCUAGGAAAAUAUAGCC